Molecule: ribosomal RNA, 1346 nt
Filed under: uncultured bacterium
Lineage: Bacteria
Description: partial 16S ribosomal RNA
Rfam family: Bacterial small subunit ribosomal RNA
Source: RNAcentral
GACGAACGCUGGCGGCGUGCUUAACACAUGCAAGUCGAACGGAAAGGCCCUGCUUUUGUGGGGUGCUCGAGUGGCGAACGGGUGAGUAACACGUGAGUAACCUGCCCUUGACUUUGGGAUAACUUCAGGAAACUGGGGCUAAUACCGGAUAGGAGCUCCUGCUGCAUGGUGGGGGUUGGAAAGUUUCGGCGGUUGGGGAUGGACUCGCGGCUUAUCAGCUUGUUGGUGGGGUAGUGGCUUACCAAGGCUUUGACGGGUAGCCGGCCUGAGAGGGUGACCGGCCACAUUGGGACUGAGAUACGGCCCAGACUCCUACGGGAGGCAGCAGUGGGGAAUAUUGCACAAUGGGCGGAAGCCUGAUGCAGCAACGCCGCGUGCGGGAUGACGGCCUUCGGGUUGUAAACCGCUUUCGCCUGUGACGAAGCGUGAGUGACGGUAAUGGGUAAAGAAGCACCGGCUAACUACGUGCCAGCAGCCGCGGUGAUACGUAGGGUGCGAGCGUUGUCCGGAUUUAUUGGGCGUAAAGGGCUCGUAGGUGGUUGAUCGCGUCGGAAGUGUAAUCUUGGGGCUUAACCCUGAGCGUGCUUUCGAUACGGGUUGACUUGAGGAAGGUAGGGGAGAAUGGAAUUCCUGGUGGAGCGGUGGAAUGCGCAGAUAUCAGGAGGAACACCAGUGGCGAAGGCGGUUCUCUGGGCCUUUCCUGACGCUGAGGAGCGAAAGCGUGGGGAGCGAACAGGCUUAGAUACCCUGGUAGUCCACGCUGUAAACGGCGGGUACUAGGUGUGGGGUCCAUUCCACGGGUUCCGUGCCGUAGCUAACGCUUUAAGUACCCCGCCUGGGGAGUACGGCCGCAAGGCUAAAACUCAAAGGAAUUGACGGGGCCCCGCACAAGCGGCGGAGCAUGCGGAUUAAUUCGAUGCAACGCGUAGAACCUUACCUGGGUUUGACAUGGAUCGGGAGUGCUCAGAGAUGGGUGUGCCUCUUUUGGGGUCGGUUCACAGGUGGUGCAUGGCUGUCGUCAGCUCGUGUCGUGAGAUGUUGGGUUAAGUCCCGCAACGAGCGCAACCCUUGUUCACUGUUGCCAGCACGUUAUGGUGGGGACUCAGUGGAGACCGCCGGGGUCAACUCGGAGGAGGGUGGGGAUGACGUCAAGUCAUCAUGCCCCUUAUGUCCAGGGCUUCACGCAUGCUACAAUGGCUGGUACAGAGAGUGGCGAGCCUGUGAGGGUGAGCGAAUCUCGGAAAGCCGGUCUCAGUUCGGAUUGGGGUCUGCAACUCGACCUCAUGAAGUCGGAGCCGCUAGUAAUCGCAGAUCAGCAACGCUGCGGUGAAUACGUUCCCGGGGCU